AUUGAACGCUGGCGGCAUGCCUUACACAUGCAAGUCGAACGGCAGCGCGGGAGCAAUCCUGGCGGCGAGUGGCGAACGGGUGAGUAAUACAUCGGAACCUGCCCAAUCGUGGGGGAUAACGCAGCGAAAGCUGUGCUAAUACCGCAUACGAUCUACGGAUGAAAGUGGGGGAUCGCAGGACCUUGCGCGAAUGGAGCGGCCGAUGUCAGAUUAGGUAGUUGGUGAGGUAAAGGCUCACCAAGCCUUCGAUCCGUAGCUGGUCUGAGAGGACGACCAGCCACACUGGGACUGAGACACGGCCCAGACUCCUACGGGAGGCAGCAGUGGGGAAUUUUGGACAAUGGGCGAAAGCCUGAUCCAGCCAUGCCGCGUGCAGGAUGAAGGCCUUCGGGUUGUAAACUGCUUUUGUACGGAACGAAACGGUCUUUUCUAAUAAAGAAGGCUAAUGACGGUACCGUAAGAAUAAGCACCGGCUAACUACGUG
Molecule: ribosomal RNA, 484 nt
Filed under: uncultured bacterium
Lineage: Bacteria
Description: partial 16S ribosomal RNA
Rfam family: Bacterial small subunit ribosomal RNA
Source: RNAcentral